This 421-nucleotide ribosomal RNA is filed under the name uncultured bacterium. Its description in RNAcentral is "partial 16S ribosomal RNA". It matches the Rfam family "Bacterial small subunit ribosomal RNA", at positions 360 to 773 of the family's 1533-position model. The record is from RNAcentral.
AAUAUUUGACAAUGGGGGCAACCCUGAUCCAGCCAUGCCGCGUGUGUGAAGAAGGUCUUCGGAUUGUAAAGCACUGUAAUUUGGGAGGACGGGCGUUAGGUUAAUACCCUGAAGUUUUGACGUUACCAACAGAUGAAGCACCGCCUAACUCUGACCCAGCAGCCGCGGUAAUACAGAGGGUGCAAGCGUUAAUCGGAAUUACUGGGCGUAAAGCGCGCGUAGGUGGUUCAGUAAGAUGGGUGUGAAAUCCCCGGGCUUAACCUGGGAACUGCUUUCAUAACUGCUGAGCUAGAGUACGGUAGAGGGUAGUGGAAUUUCCUGUGUAGCGGUGAAAUGCGUAGAUAUAGGAAGGAACACCAGUGGCGAAGGCGACUACCUGGACUGAUACUGACACUGAGGUGCGAAAGCGUGGGGAGCAAAC